Molecule: ribosomal RNA, 253 nt
Filed under: uncultured bacterium
Lineage: Bacteria
Description: partial 16S ribosomal RNA
Rfam family: Bacterial small subunit ribosomal RNA
Source: RNAcentral
UACAGGGGGGGCAAGCGUUGUUCGGAAUUACUGGGCGUAAAGGGCUCGUAGGUGGCCAACUAAGUCAGACGUGAAAUCCCUCAGCUUAACUGGGGAACUGCGUCUGAUACUGGAUGGCUUGAGUUUGGGAGAGGGAUGCGGAAUUCCAGGUGUAGCGGUGAAAUGCGUAGAUAUCUGGAGGAACACCGGUGGCGAAGGCGGCGACCUGGGUCGAUACUGACGCUGAGGUGCGAAAGCGUGGGGAGCAAACAGG